GUACUCACUUUGGCAGCACAUAUACUAUAACUGGAACAAUACUGAGAAGAUUAACAUGGCCUCUGCACAAGGAUGAUAUAUAAAUUUGUGAAGUGUUCAAUGUUUUG
Small nuclear RNA from Sciurus carolinensis (gray squirrel), 107 nucleotides. The record is from RefSeq and is a predicted model, not a curated record. NCBI's taxonomy places the organism in Eukaryota, Metazoa, Chordata, Mammalia, Rodentia, Sciuridae.